UCCGAGUUCCCGUACGAACACCAAAGUUAAGCAACUUUGAGCGUUGUCAGUAACGAGAUGGGUGACCGCUUGGGAAUACCAGGUGCUGUAAG
Molecule: non-coding RNA, 92 nt
Organism: Acanthosepion pharaonis
Lineage: Eukaryota; Metazoa; Mollusca; Cephalopoda; Sepiida; Sepiidae
Source: the annotation of a GenBank genome assembly